AACGAACGCUGGCGGCAUGCCUAACACAUGCAAGUCGAACGAGACCUUCGGGUCUAGUGGCGCACGGGUGCGUAACGCGUGGGAACCUGCCCUUAGGUUCGGAAUAACUCCCCGAAAGGGGUGCUAAUACCGGAUAAUGACUUCGGACCAAAGAUUGAUCGCCUUUGGAUGGGCCCGCGUUGGAUUAGCUAGUUGGUAGGGUAAAAGCCUACCAAGGCGACGAUCCAUAGCUGGUCUGAGAGGAUGAUCAGCCACACUGGGACUGAGACACGGCCCAGACUCCUACGGGAGGCAGCAGUGGGGAAUAUGGGACAAUGGGCGAAAGCCUGAUCCAGCAGUGCCGCGUGAGUGAUUAAGGCCUUAGGGUUGUAAAGCUCUUUUACCCGGGAUGAUAAUGACAGUACCGGGAGAAUAAGCUCCGGCUAACUCCGU
This 432-nucleotide ribosomal RNA is filed under the name uncultured bacterium. RNAcentral's name for it is "partial 16S ribosomal RNA". It matches the Rfam family "Bacterial small subunit ribosomal RNA", at positions 29 to 506 of the family's 1533-position model. The record is from RNAcentral.